This 251-nucleotide ribosomal RNA is filed under the name uncultured bacterium. RNAcentral describes it as "partial 16S ribosomal RNA". The record is from RNAcentral.
UAGUUUGAUCAUGGCUCAGGAAAGUCGUAACAAGGUAGCCGUAAGUCGUGACAGGGUAACCGUAGAGUUUGAUCCUGGCUCAGAAGUCGUAACAAGGUAGCCGUAAGUCGUAACAAGGUAACCGUAGAGUUUGAUCCUGGCUCAGGAAAGUCGUAACAAGGUAACCGUAAGUCGUAACAAGGUAACCGUAGAGUUUGAUCAUGCCUCAGCCUUUGACUUAAAAAAAUGGAAGUCGUAACAAGGUGCCGUAA